RNAcentral lists this long non-coding RNA (1968 nucleotides) under Homo sapiens (human). RNAcentral describes it as "non-protein coding lnc-TMF1-1:1". Lineage: Eukaryota; Metazoa; Chordata; Mammalia; Primates; Hominidae. The record is from RNAcentral.
CAUUAUCUUCUAAUGAAGAUAUGUUUUCGGAAAACACAGUGCUAAGAAUUUACUUAUAACUAGCUGGUAACUACUGUAAGGAUAGUUUGUGUCAGUUUUUAAUCUUAAGCAAUAUCAAGACAUUCUUCUAAAAGUCUUAUGUUUCUGUAUUCAAGUAAUAACAACAGUUAAAAUAAGUUAUCCUCUAUUUCUGAGUUCAUAUUGCUUGGAUUAAGCUCUGUAACCUUUAAAGUACUUUUAAUCUGUUGCCUUUAUACAUACGCAUUUUACCUUUUAGCAAAUUAAGAUCUUUUUGUAAGACAGACUGGAAAUGAAAUGUAUUUCUCCUUAGUACUUAAAUACCUUUUCUCAAAACAAAACAAAAAAACUCAAAAUGCUUCAAUAAUUCACAAAUACGGUAAAGAGAAUUUACUCUUAGAACUGUCUGGAAUUCCCCACACUGCCCUACUCCCAAGUAGCCUAAAUUUAAUAUUUAGAAUCGCAAAUAACAUUAAACAAGAACGUAAUGGCAGGUUUUUCUGUUUGUUUAAUAUUAAACAUUCUUCUUGCUUUUACAGGUAUAGGCACAGCAUGGUAGAUAGAGGUAUUCCUUCCAUUUUUAUAAAAUGCCAUGCUGAUUUGUCUGUUUUAAAAUUACAAUCUUAAUUUUUAAAAAUAUACGUUGUUCAAAAAUCUGUGGUCAGGUUGGUAAUAGGAAAUAUAGUCUUUUCUUCUUUUUUCUUUUUUUGGGAAACAUAGUCUUAUUUUGUUCCAAACACUGUGUAAGGAAUUCACUUAUGUAGGAUUAUAAUCCCAUAAUCAUUGUUCUGAAAUCCACAAAGCUCUAAAAACCAUACAUAUUUUAAUACAUUUGCUGUUAAAUCUACUUCGGUGGUAAAGCCUGCACUGCACUGACAUAGGGCUAUGUAUAGUCUUUAACUCAUUUGGUGUGAAUACUCAUACAUUUUGCUGCAGAAAUACUGUGUGAGAUUAUGGGGUACUCACCCAGGACUCAGUGGGGGGGGGGGGGUAUUAAGUUAAACGAUGGGCAUAUCUAUUCUAUUUUUUAAAGUUCAGACACACACAGGGACCCAAGGAUUUUGGAAAAGGAAGUGUGUACCCACACUUUAUCAUCAAGUCAACCUUUUAAAAUGGAUGCCAUUAUCACCCCCAUUUUUAAAAAUAAAGAUUAAGUAAAUUGCUCAAGGUCAUAUGGCAAGUAAGUGGCAAAGCUGGGAUUCUAAUUUGUGCAGUUUGGCUCCAGAGUCUAUGAUUUCAAUAAUUAAUUAUAUGGUGCUACUUUUCCUACUGCUUUUCUGUAAAAUCAUAAGCAUAUAGAUCAGUUACAGCCAAAAUUUAUUCAUUAAAAAUGUCAACACCUUUUAAUUAUGGUCUAACAGUUGGAUGAGAGAACCAGUAUACUACAUUCUGCUGAUAUUGUUAGCAAUUUACUCAUUGUAAUUUGUUGGAUUUGUCUCAAAUUUUUUAAGCCAUGCAUUCUUCCAUCUCUGUCUCUCUUUUUCUUAAUUCUUGCAAUUUCGAUGAAGUUUCUUAUUUGUAGAAAAAACUAGGUCAUUUGUCCUAUAGUUUCCCUCCAUCUGGAUGUUGAUUUCUUACCUUUUGUUAGUGUGUUCCGCCUCCUGUGUUUAAAUCUAAAGGCAAUUAUUUUUCAACAAAAAUACUUCAUUAGGUGGAAGUGUAUUCUUCCAGCAGGAGACAGAUAAUUCCUGAUGGUUUCUCAGUUGUGAUAAAGAAAUAAUUGAUGAUCACUUCUUAAAUCUAUUAGUUCACAGAGCUUGUGGAGUGAUAUUGUCAUUUCUUUUUCAUUUAGUAGUUGGAAUGUUUCCAUAAAAAAUUUACUUCAGUUAUUUUGUUAUUUGCAUCAUAAUUCAUACAGGAAAGACAGUAUAAAUAUUCCUGAUUCUUUCCCUUUGUUUACCAGUUUUCAGAAUAAGAGUUGGUUUCCUUCUGUCAUUAAAAAUGAACAGC